UGAAUUGAAAACAAACGAUUUUGAAAAAAACAUUUGGGGAAAACACUUUAAAAGUCGAGUAAAUCGCAGAUACAUCAUAGAUCUAAGAAAACAACAGAGAAAAAACCUCGAGUAGCUUAGAGUUUCAGAGAAACCCUAGAAAUGAGAAAGGCUUGGAAGAAAGCUGUAUCUUGAGUCGGAGAGGUAGAAUCGGACCCUCUAAUGCUUGAAUAUGCCGGAGCAUAGGCCGGAAAGGCCAUAGAACCAUAGAUUUAAGAAGUUCUGGAGGAGAACCAUCGAGUUCAAGCCUCAAAGCUUCGAACAAACAUGGUCUAAUGGUAGAAGGGGGUGAGUGUAGACCAUCCAUGGCUUGAGAACCCAUGGAUCCCAGUAAAGGUAUAGUAGAAAAAAGGUCGGAGACGGUUAGGGUUCUGAAGAACCUUCGAGAGGAUUUGAGAGACGAUGGG
This 446-nucleotide long non-coding RNA is filed under the name Nicotiana benthamiana. RNAcentral's name for it is "long non-coding RNA (NBEN_LNC018973)". The record is from RNAcentral. Lineage: Eukaryota; Viridiplantae; Streptophyta; Magnoliopsida; Solanales; Solanaceae.